This 839-nucleotide long non-coding RNA is filed under the name Paramuricea clavata. Lineage: Eukaryota; Metazoa; Cnidaria; Anthozoa; Malacalcyonacea; Plexauridae. The record is from RNAcentral.
AUCCUGCCCAACAUCAGCGAUUGCCCAGUUUGUGAAGCAACAACGUUGGCAAAUGUUGAAGCUCUUGGAAGGUCUUCGAAAGACAGCAAAUAUUAACGCUGAUUGCCCCGGCGACUUGCUUUGAAGAGGGAGGCAGUACGCAGCUCUCGGAACGCUAUCCCUGAUUGGCUGAGAUAGAAUUUCGACAAUUAUUUCCUUAAUUCAAAUUAGUUAUUAUAAUAGUUUAUCUGCUAGGCAUAUUUCAAUUUUACCGAAUUGCAAAAAAAUUAAUGAGAUUAUAUACCCCUCAUUGUCCUAUUAGCACCAUAGCUAUCACUACCUCAUCCCUUUUUCAUCACUCCUCGAUAACUAUCCCGUCACUACUUCACUACACUAUCACUAUGAGAUGGUCGCGAUGGCCAGGGCCGGUGAAUAAUAGUAUAAUGGUCGAGGUGGUCGAGGUAGUCGAGAAGGUCAAGGUGGUCGAGAUGGUCGAGGUGGUCGAGAAGGUCGAGGUGGUCGAGAAGGUCGAGAUGGUCGAGAAGGUCGAGGUGGUCGAGAAGGUCGAGAAGGUCGAGAUGGUCGAGAAGGUCGAGGUGGUCGAGGUGGUCGAGAUGGUCGAGGUGGUCGAGAAGGUCGAGGUGGUCGAGGUGGUCGAGGUGGUCGAGAAGGUCGAGAAGGUCGAGAUGGUCGAGAAGGUNNNNNNNNNNNNNNNNNNNNAUAAUCACAGGAUAUUAUUGAAAGAUUUCCCUACCAAUUCACUGCCUUAAAAGCAUUAUAUUAUUUGCUCUGUGUGUGUGUGUUACUUUAAGUGUACUCUGGUUCCAGAGGCUCUUUGCGAGGCGAAAGAAACAAGAUGC